UACGAUCGCUGAUUGUAUCUAGUUUUUCUAUUUUCUUCCUUUUCCUUCAAUUACAGCUCCAUCAUAUGAAGCGCUGGUAAGAGGAAUCUUUAUCGUCAUUGGACUGAUUCAUGUUGAUGCAGGAGAGAUUUCGCGGAAUAUGCAGAUGUAUGUUUCAAAAUAUUCGGAGACAGAGUUAAAUACUGGACAACCUUCAACGAGGCCAAUAUUUUCUCGAUGGCUGGUUAUGACCUCGGAUUCAUGCCGCCAAGCCGUUGCUCUUCUCCAUUUGGAUUCCUUAACUGCACCAGAGGAGAUUCGUUAUUGGAACCAUACUUGGCAGCUCACAAUAUCUUAUUGUCACAUGCAUCGGCCACCAGAUUGUAUUGGAAAAAGUACCAGGUAAAAGUUCGUGUUUCUUUUUUCCACUUAGUUGACUGUUUUAGGGCCUAUUUGGUAAUCAUCCUAACAGUGUCAGAUUCUGAUUUUUUGUUCCCGGGAGCAGUUUUGGAACAGAAUUAUGUUUGGUAAAACUUUUAUUCCUGGGAACAAAUUUCUAUUUUUUUUAUUCUCGGAAAUAGAUUUAGAAGAGAAUCAAGAAUAAAAAAAAUAUUGAUUCUUGUUCCCGAGUACAAAUCUAAGAAUCAAGUCAUUUUUUUCUUCUUCAUCUACUGUCACUGCCACGAUUGUUGUCCGCCGUUGUCCACCGCCGGUGGCCGGCAACCGGUCCGGCGAGCUUGCCAGAGGCUUGCCAGGCUAGGGCGAGGUUGGGCAAGCUUGCCAGAGGCAAGUCUAGCCACCGGCGAGGCUCGCCCAGCCUUGGCUUGGCCACCGGCAAGGCUAAGCCUCAGUGGGGCUGGGUGAGCCUUGCCCAACUGUCGGCAAUGCUCCAGUGAGGUCGCUAACCCCGGCGACCAGCCACUUGAAGAAGAAGAAUAGGAAAGAGAAAGAAAAAAACUAAUAAAAUUAUUUAAAAGUAAAAGAAAAUGAUUUGGAGUAGAAAUUUUGAGCACAGUACCAAACGCAAUUUUAUUCCAGAAUUAGAAAUUUUGGACAGUUGUCAAAUGGCUUAAAAUGCUUAGAAAUUUUUCCCGGGGACAAAAUAAAAAAAAAAAUCAUUUUUAAUUAGAAAUUGUUCCCGGGAACAAAAUGGUUACCAAACGCACCCUUAAGGUUAGGGAACUUUCCCUAAGUCAACCUCAGUAAGAAAAAAAACUGCUUUAGGAUUCAACCUAUACGAUAUAAUCUAAUUCAAUGUGAAAUUGUAUGCUGGCAAAAUAUCACAGUUUUUGUUUCUCUCAUAAUUUUAAGGAGAACCCAGUAAAAACAGAUAAUAUAUCAUGCCUAAUGAUCAUUUUUCUGUUUCCGUGUAUGCAGAACAUACAGAAGGGAUACAUAGGGCUUAACCUUCUGAGUUUCUACUCUGUUCCUUUCACAAACAAAACGGAAGACGUAAUUGCAGCUCGAAGGGUUACUGACUUUUUCAUGGGUUGGUGAGUGAUUGAUAUACGUGUGAUCUGUAUCUUCUUGCCUUUGAAAUCAAUCUAACUUGAACUGGGUGUUUGACCUCUGGAUUGCAUCAACGACCAUUAUCUAUGGAAAUCUCGGGAUACUAAUUUUGUUUGAGAAUGUCCAGUUCAUUAAGUAAUUUUGAACCUGCCCUACGGUUUGACUUUGUUUUUCUUCCGCAGUUUGUAGUUGUAAUCCAGUAGAAAUUCAAACUGAGUUUGGUGUUUUAUCUUUGUUGCAGGUUUGUGGAACCGCUGGUGUAUGGGGACUAUCCUGAGGUGAUGAAGAAUAAUGCAGGAUCAAGACUCCCUUCCUUCACUGCUCUCGAAUCUCAAAGAGUCAAGGGUUCAUUUGAUUUCUUUGCAGUCAAUUUCUACAGCGCAAACUAUGUCAAGGACAAUCCAGAAAGCCUGAACAUCGAACCGAGGGACUAUUUCACAGACAUGGCUGUACAGUGGAAAUGUAUGUGCUCUUUUACCAAUUCAAUCUUCACCCGUAGUGCCGACUUCGUCCAAACUUAGUAUCUCGAUCUCAUGGUGCUUUAAGCAUCACAUUUUAUUUAUAAAUGACCAUCUAUGCAUGCUAAACCUCAUUUAAUUGAGUAAAAUGUUUCUUGAGAAUUAUUGAUCAACAUUUUAAUUACCACAAAUUUACUUGAAAACUUCUCAUCUACUGAAGAGUCUAGUGGCUUUUCUCUUCCAUGGCAGAUAAGCAAGGAAAUGCAUCGUCAUUUAUGAAUAGAUUUCCGCCUUCAUUUGAGGUAAGUUGAUGCAGUGAAGUAUCAGUUAACUUUAUUGAGAAGUGAAAUUGCUGAUGCAUUUGUUUCAGUUUCCGCUUACUCCAUGGGGUCUGCAAGGCGUGCUGGAGUUAUUCAAGCAAAAUUAUGGAAACCCUCCCAUUUUUAUCUAUGAAAACGGUCUCUCUCUCUCUCUCUCUCUCUCUCUCUCUCUGUGUGUGGGCAGUUCAAAUAUGAUGUUGACUUCCAGCUUCCAACUUAAUAUGAGCACACCAGUUCAGACCAUGAGAUCUUUCUUUUCAUAGUCGACAAGUUGAAUUAAAAAAUGUGUAAGCAAAAUGGUUAAGUCAAGAGUUUAUAAACUUCAAUCAAGACAUGUAAAUUAUUUUGUCAGAGCAUUGUUCAAGGAGACUGGUUUGAUAGAGGAGUCAACCAUGGAGAGAAAAGGGCGAAGCUGGCAUUUACUGAAAGAAUAAGAAAUUAUAUUGUUUCGACAUUCCACUCAGGUUUCUGGAUUACAAUUCUUUCCCUGGAAUGUGGUUACACAAGUGGGAACUUUUGGUUGUCUCUUUGCAGGUCAAAGGAUGCAGAGAAACACGUCACUUGAGGACUGGCCGAGAAUUCAAUAUUUGCAGGAGCAUAUCAGUGUCCUGCUGGAUACAGUGAGGUACACAUCCUCUAUGCAUUGAGUCCAACACCGUAACUCUACAAUUCAAAUGUGCAUAUUUUUCUGACCUUUCUUCUUCCCUUUGACCUGUGAAGGAAUGGCUCGAAUGCGAAAGGCUACUUCACAUGGUCCCUCCUAGACGUGUUCGAGCUGUUGGAUGGGUACAGGUCGGGCUAUGGCCUGUACUAUGUGGACUUGGACGACCCUGAGCUGAGGAGGUACCCGAAGCUCUCAGCCAAGUGGUACUCACGCUUCCUGAAGGGAGGGAGCAUCACUCCGGACAGCAGCAUCGAGCUCGAUGGCAAUUGGUCCUCCCUCUCUUCUGCUCAAGCCAUGAGGUGAAAUUAAAUUCCUGGUUCCUUGAGGUGCGAGUCAUUUUCUUGGGUAGCUUCAUUCACGAUUCAGGUUCAACUCAAGUCAAGGAGCAUGUGAAUGUUCUCUCUUUUGUCCAGAAUUUUCCUAGUAUGUACUUCAUCAUGCUGUUGGGAAGAUUCACGGAUGGUGCGAGCUAUUUAGCGUGACUGUAAAUCUUUGAAUUUCCUGGUUCCAAAUGUCAGUCUUAGCAUAUGGAGAAUAGAUGAACGUACAUAAAAGAAUUGCUUUGCAAUUUAUUAGUAGGGGCCGUCGAGUGGUUUUGUAUCAUUAUAUCAGAUUCCAAGUCAAUCGUCCUUAUGCCUCGUCAUGCUUAAAUUUAUGUACGUAAUCUCACGCCCUCCUUGAAUGAGAUUGUCUUAUCGUAGUUCUAGGCAAGUUUCUAGCGUUCCACACUUAUGGUGAAGAAGAAUGUCGUGAAUUGCUAAGCAAAAAUAUGCACAGCGUCGCUUCGACUAGAGCCGUGGAUGCGCAGCGGGCCACGCCAACUUUAUUAUGGACGGCUGUGAUUUAGCUGAAAAAUUUCCUACAAUCCAAAAGGAAACAGACAGGACAAAAAUGACCAAGCAUUCUCCACCGCUGUUAUAAAGAACGAAAGCGUGCCGAUAUUUUCUUAUUUAUAUGCAUGGAGCCAGCGACGGUAAUGCGCAAGAAAGACGUCCAAGUCCUACGUGGCAUUGGACAAAAAACAAGAAGAAAAUCAGAAAAAUGAUGAGCAUCUCGCUCUCUGUCCUGCAAUUCAAAUCCCUCACUUCUCUUUUCGACCUCUACUUCAUGGUAAUUCCUUAAAUGCACAAGAGAACAAAAUCUCCUAAAAAGAAAAAGUAAAGGAAAGGGAAUAAUAGGCGUUGUAACCAGAGAAGGGAGGGACCACGGACGUGACACAAGUGCCCUUGGUGAUGUGUGACUGUGAUCUCCGAAAGAUACAGGACAGAGAAGAUGAUGGAGAAAUUGGGUAUCUUGUUGCAGCUUUUGGCGUUGGGUCGGGUGAUAGCAGAGGCCGUCUGCGGUGCUGAUGAGUUCAACAGAUAUGUCACUUCCCUCCUGGCUUUGUGUUUGGUGCAGGCACUUCAGCUUAUCAGGUCUGUGCUCGUUCCCUCUGUUUCAACGUGUGUGUGUUCAUGUAGAGAGAGAGAGAGAGAGAGAGAGAGAGAGAGAGUAAUUUGAUUGAAGCUGUGGAUUUGGAAGGUCGAUGGAGCAGCACAUGAAGAUGGGAGGACUCCGAGUAUAUUGGAUACCUGGACCCACUCUGACUCAGGCUAGCCUAUUUAUUUGUUACAUGAUCUUACUGUUGUAUUCAUAUGAUGGUCUUCUCUCACAUGAAUAAGCAAGUUGUUUUUUUUUAAUGCGCGUACGCCUCCUCUGUCAUUUUUAUUUAAUAUGGGCAGGAGAAUAUUUUGAAAUUAGGGGUGAGCAUCCCCUGGACCGAUCCUGGACCGGCCCAACCCUGCCGGUCCUGGUCCAGUCCCAGGGAAACUAGGUCAGUCAUUGGUUUUAGAAUUCCCAAACCAAUACUAUGCAAGUUAGUCUUUGAUCUUAAGAGUUCCAGGUCGGUCCAACGUGAAUCAACCGUGACUAUAUAUAUAAUUUUUUUAUAUAGAGAAAAUCUUAAAAUAAAUUGCAUCAACAACAUUAAACAGCUAUUUAGUAAAGAGUUCAACUAAUUUUACAUUAUUCUUUAAUAACUUAGGUUUUUAAUGUCAUUUACGGCAUCGAGAGUCAUAAUUUACGAAUGAAGAAAAUAUUUUUGCGAGAAGUCCUUACCGCGUCCGAAAAUGCACCUUAUGACAUCAUUCUCUAGUAUUCGUUCUCUUCUAUCUUAUUUGUCCUCUUAGUCUUCAAUUUUCCAAAAUUGAAAUAAACAAUUUUUCCGCUCGCCACUCGACACUCACCUCGCUCAUUUUGGGUCACUCGUGUUGCUCGUCGCUCGAUGCUCGUUUGGUCUCGCUCAUUUUGGGUCACUCAUGCUGUUUGUCGCUCGAUGCUCGUUUGGUUUGUUGCUCCUUGCUCGACAUUCGAUGUUCAUUCUAUUCAACACUCACCCGACUUGACCAUCAUUACUUGCCUUUUUUAACUGACCUCGCUCAUCAUUGAACACAUUGGGUCGAUACGAUUCUCGGUUGCCCUUUCAAGGAGUACAAAAAAUUAAAUAAAAAAUUAUUGGGUGGUAUUGGGUUGACCUUAAAAUCAAACCGAAUCCAUUGGGUCAGUCUGGUCUUCAAUCGUUUUUUUAAAAAGUACAAAAAAUAAAAUAAAAAUUAUCAAUUAGUUCCGGAUUGACCUUGGAACCGGAUCGAACCUAUUGGGUCGGUCCAGUUCUCGGUCCCAAGCUCAAUAGGGUUGGUCAUCAAUCCCAAAAAUUGAGGACUAGUAUUGUGUGGAUUGGUCCUAGGGUUAGGGGAUGGACCGGCCCAAUCCGGACCAUACUCACCCCUAUUUUGAAUGAUAUCGGGAAAUUUCACUCUGGGCCUCCAGGGUGAGGUGGAGAAGAUAUAGUGCUGCAAAAUUGAUGAUACAAUCAACUUGGGGUCUGAAAAUCCAUUGUGGGAUUGCCAAAUUUAAUUGCACCAUGAGCCUUGGCUGAUAAUAUUUUGUCAUAUCAAUGAAUUUUCUUGAUAAUUCAAGAAAAAGUACUCAGCUGAGCUCAGCUUUCAGCAAGUCGAACAUUUCAGGUUGAUAUUUGAAGUUUGAACACUGAACAGUGGAGUGGGAUCGCGUACUAUACUGAUUUAUAGGACUCGAGAAUAGUUGUGUUUUCUGAUCAUAAACUCCGAAAAAGGCGGGCAAUGGCUUGGCGAGUCUUUGACACAUGAAUCAUCUUUCCAGUUGGUUUUAUGCUUCGGUUUGGUGGAGUCCAACCGAACUCUGAAGUCCUUGCGGACAAGGCCGAACAUCUGAAGUAGCUGAAUUUCUUAAAGCAUUGAAAAGCAGUGAAAAGUAAAAUAGUUGUUCUGAUUCUUAACCAGGCUCCAUCUUGUUUCUGCUAAAAGCUCGGAAGUUCAUUACCGAGCAGGCCUAAAUUUUUAUGCGCAUGCUUUUAGCUCUCCUAAUUGUCUGGUUUUUCAUCUUGCCGGGAUUAUUACAGGCGGAGCCAAUGGAGAUAUCGCCUGUGAUCAAUAUCGCAAAUACAAGGUACUUACCAGUCAUCUCGUUACAAUUUGAUGUACAGUAUUUUCUCACUACGGUAGAUAGUCGUCAUGAGUAGUGACCGUCUAACGUAGAUUUGCUUCAGUUUGAGAUCAACCCACCAUCCCUGAAUCCUAUCUGAUCAAUGCGAUGCAGGAAGAUGUCCAACUCAUGGCAGAGAUGGGCUUAGACGCGUACCGGUUUUCCAUCUCAUGGUCGAGGCUCAUUCCAAGUAUGACCAAAAACCCAUUUAACUGUAGCUUUUCUUUUCCAAAUGGUGCAUCUGUUUCUGAUCUCUUCCACCAUAUGAUCGUAUUUCUUCCUUUAGAUGGGAGAGGCUCGGUGAAUCAGAAGGGAUUGCAAUACUACAACAACCUCAUCAAUGAACUAGUAAGCCAUAGUGACCUUAUAUGCAUACUAAUGUUAUUUUAUGCUCCAUGUGUUGUGCAGUUUUCCUAUCUAUUAGAGAAGGAACUACCUCCAAUGGACGGUAACAAAUUAAUUUUCACACGCAGGGAUUCAACCGCAGGUGAAACUACACCAUUUUGAUCUGCCACAGGCUCUUGAAUAUGAGUAUGGAGGAUGGAUAAGUCGAAAUAUUGUGUAAGAUCACUAAUCCCAUCGACUUUUUUUAUUUUCUUCUUGUUCCUUUGAUUACAGCUCCAUCAUAUGAAGUGCCGGUAAAAGAAAUCGUUAUCAUAAUGGGACUAAUUCAUGUUGAAGCAGGAAAGAUUUUGUGGAAUAUGCAGAUGUAUGUUUCAGAAUGUUCGGGGACAGAGUUAAAUACUGGACAACCUUCAACGAGGCCAA
This 7199-nucleotide long non-coding RNA is filed under the name Eucalyptus grandis. RNAcentral's name for it is "long non-coding RNA (EGRA_LNC005844)". Lineage: Eukaryota; Viridiplantae; Streptophyta; Magnoliopsida; Myrtales; Myrtaceae. The record is from RNAcentral.